This 497-nucleotide ribosomal RNA is filed under the name uncultured bacterium. RNAcentral describes it as "partial 16S ribosomal RNA". It matches the Rfam family "Bacterial small subunit ribosomal RNA", at positions 28 to 507 of the family's 1533-position model. The record is from RNAcentral.
GACGAACGCUGGCGGCGUGCCUAAUACAUGCAAGUUGAGCGCUGAAGGUUGGUACUUGUACCAACUGGAUGAGCAGCGAACGGGUGAGUAACGCGCGGGGAAUCUGCCUUUGAGCGGGGGACAACAUUUGGAAACGAAUGCUAAUACCGCAUAAAAACUUUAAACACAAGUUUUAAGUUUGAAAGAUGCAAUUGCAUCACUCAAAGAUGAUCCCGCGUUGUAUUAGCUAGUUGGUGAGGUAAAGGCUCACCAAGGCGAUGAUACAUAGCCGACCUGAGAGGGUGAUCGGCCACAUUGGGACUGAGACACGGCCCAAACUCCUACGGGAGGCAGCAGUAGGGAAUCUUCGGCAAUGGACGAAAGUCUGACCGAGCAACGCCGCGUAAGUGAAGAAGGUUUUCGGAUCGUAAAACUCUGUUGGUAGAGAAGAACGUUGGUGAGAGUGGAAAGCUCAUCAAGUGACGGUAACUACCCAGAAAGGGACGGCUAACUACGUG